This 694-nucleotide long non-coding RNA is filed under the name Suricata suricatta (meerkat). RNAcentral's name for it is "lncRNA (ENSSSUG00005017538.1)". The record is from RNAcentral. Lineage: Eukaryota; Metazoa; Chordata; Mammalia; Carnivora; Herpestidae.
CAACGCCCAUAAAAAGCACAGACCCAUAAUAUAAAUGUUGGCGUCCCAGGAAGCAUACAUGGAGGGGUCUCUAGUGACUCAGAGCAUGUGUUCUGUUCUGCCUGCAGGGGGCGCCAUGACUCACCCCCCCCCCCCAACCGUUGCCACGAAGGAUCCCAGAGUCAGUGUGGUUGAGCCUUCCAAUCUCCUCAAAAAAGUCAUAAAUCUGGAAUUUUACGUAAGAUUUCCCGAUUUGUAAGACAGUAUGGGAGCCAAAGAGCAUAUGCCUGUGGGUAAUUUUCCCCUGGAUUACCACCUGCAACAACGCUGUCUCCCAGGACCCAGGUCCUGGAGCUCCGAUGAGCUCAUCCGCACAGCCCAUAACAGGAGAGCAGACGGCACAGCAGCAUCUGCUCAGGCAAUUGAGACACAGCUUUGGGAACAUCGUAUGACGCCUUUUAUCUCAACUCUGGGUGAGGUGAGCUUCAAGGACAACUAUUUGUGAGCAACACCAUCACAGAAUGACAAUGGAAGUUCAACAUGGCACAGUGCAUCUGCAGGGCUCAGAACAAUGCCUGGAAUGUUUGUAGGUGAGCUGUAGUUAUUUGUGGUAUGAAUGGUCCCUGCCCUCCAGAAGCUUACCCUCCACUGGGGAGACAAACAUUGAGCAAUUGAUGAUACACGAUCCAUUACAUUGUUGAUAAGUGUUGUGAAG